Long non-coding RNA from Nicotiana tabacum (common tobacco), 294 nucleotides. RefSeq lists it as uncharacterized. The record is from RefSeq and is a predicted model, not a curated record. NCBI's taxonomy places the organism in Eukaryota, Viridiplantae, Streptophyta, Magnoliopsida, Solanales, Solanaceae.
AAAGGCAAAAGCCUAGGCUUAGAAGCCAUUAAGCUUCGGCAGAAGCAUUCAAGGAAAUAGAAAAAAAGAAAGUAAAAAAAGAAAAAUCCGUGUCAGCCACUUUUGAGAAUCAAAGGAAACGUGAGGUUUUAGUUUUCUGCCAUUGAAGAGGACUACAAGUAUUCAACAGAGAAAGCUAAUUAAACAGAGAAGAAGAAGAUUGAUUGAAGAAAGUCAUACGGAUCGCUCGAGGUGACGAGUUUGGUAUUUCACACGAGUACUAGCCAGGUAUUGGAGAUGUGGGACUCGGACAGA